RNAcentral lists this ribosomal RNA (443 nucleotides) under uncultured bacterium. Its description in RNAcentral is "bacterial SSU rRNA". It matches the Rfam family "Bacterial small subunit ribosomal RNA", at positions 29 to 458 of the family's 1533-position model. The record is from RNAcentral.
AACGAACGCUGGCGGCGUGGAUAAGACAUGCAAGUCGAACGGGAUUACUUUUGUAGCAAUACAAAAGUAGUUCAGUGGCGCAAGGGUGCGUAACACGUGGGCAAUCUGCCGAGAUGUGGGGGAUAGCUCGCCGAAAGGCGAAUUAAUACCGCAUGUGAUUAGGGAAGACAUCUUUCCGACAUCAAAGCCGGGGCAACCUGGCGCAUCUUGAUGAGCCCGCGGCCUAUCAGCUAGUUGGCGAGGUAAUGGCUCACCAAGGCAUUGACGGGUAGCUGGUCUCAGAGGACGACCAGCCACACUGGAACUGAGACACGGUCCAGACACCUACGGGUGCAGCAGUCGAGAAUUUUUCUCAAUGGGGCAACCCUGAAGGAGCGACGCCGCGUGGAGGAUGAAGGUCUUCGGGAUUGUAAACUCCUUUCGAUCGAGACGAACGGCCCCGG